UUAAGUUUCAAAUUUUAUAAUAUUGAAAUUUAUAAGAAAAUAAGAAAAUUAUGUUUAAUUUCACGGGACUGGGUUAUAUGGUAGGACGGGUUUGGGUGGAUAAUAAUUACGGUUGUACAAUGUCCCACAUCGCUUAAAAAAAUUGGACAAUGGUUCAGAGCCAUACUAUAAAAAGGACCAAAAUGAUUUCGAUUACGAAUGAGCAUGAAACUUGAUUUAUGAGGUGUCCAAAAUUAAAAUGGUUUGUUUACUAGGGUUAUUUAUUUUAAAAAAUUGAAACUUUUAAAAGUUUCAAAAAAUUAU
RNAcentral lists this small RNA (303 nucleotides) under Arabidopsis thaliana (thale cress). RNAcentral's name for it is "ATSL278860". Lineage: Eukaryota; Viridiplantae; Streptophyta; Magnoliopsida; Brassicales; Brassicaceae. The record is from RNAcentral.